This 390-nucleotide ribosomal RNA is filed under the name uncultured bacterium. RNAcentral's name for it is "bacterial SSU rRNA". It matches the Rfam family "Bacterial small subunit ribosomal RNA", at positions 28 to 417 of the family's 1533-position model. The record is from RNAcentral.
GACGAACGCUGGCGGCGUGCUUAACACAUGCAAGUCGAGCGGUAAGGCCCUUUCGGGGGUACACGAGCGGCGAACGGGUGAGUAACACGUGGGUGACCUGCCCUCAGCUCUGGGAUAAGCCUGGGAAACCGGGUCUAAUACCGGAUAUGACUCCAUGACGCAGGUGUUGUGGGGUGGAAAGCCUUGUGCGGCUGAGGAUGGGCCCGCGGCCUAUCAGCUUGUUGGUGGGGUGAUGGCCUACCAAGGCGACGACGGGUAGCCGGCCUGAGAGGGCGACCGGCCACACUGGGACUGAGACACGGCCCAGACUCCUACGGGAGGCAGCAGUGGGGAAUCUUGCGCAAUGGGCGAAAGCCUGACGCAGCGACGCCGCGUGAGGGAUGACGGCCU